CAGGGACCCAACACCUUCCCCUGAGAGUAGUAGCUCUUCAGCCCCCUUAUUGUGAAACCAGUUGAGAAGCUCCACUUUCCUUAGAUCUAUCAGGAUUUUGUAACUAGCAAUUCACAGGUGUCCUGUGCUUUUGGGGCUGCCACCGGGGGAGGAAUAGGAUUUGGUACAACCCACUUGUUUAUGUUUCUCCUAAGGCCACAUCUAUUUCCAGCCACAUCCUUUGUUCCGGGAUUAAUGAUUUUUUUUCUUUAAAAAAUAUUUUUAUACAGUCGUACCUUGGAUCCCGAACUCCUUGGUACUCGGAUGUUUUGGCUCCCGAACACUGCAUACCCGGAAGUGAUUGUUCCAGUUUGUGAACGUUUUUUGGAAGCCGCACAUCUGACGGGGCUUUUGUGACUUCUGAUUGGCUGCAGGAGCUUCCUGCAGCCAAUCAGAAGCUGGGCUUUGGUUUCCCAAUGUUUUAGAAGUCAAACGGACUUCCAAAGCAGAUUCCGUUCGACUUCCAAGGUACAACUGUAUACUGCUAUUCAUUUAAAAAGUCAAAAUGGUUUAUGAUAGCACAUAAAACUAUACAAUUCAAACCAUAUAAGAAGUUAAAAAGAGAGACCAGUGAACUAUUGUGAAAAUAUGUAUUCUUAUUGCCUGCAUAGGCCUGAAGAAAGAGAAAAGUUUUCAACAAGCAUUUAAUAGCUGAAACAGAAAGCACCUGCUGAAUCUCUGUUGGCAGAGUGUCCCACGAUAUUGGAUAAAUGAAACUAAAGUCUCUGCUUCCUGUUGUUAUCAGAUGAGUCUCGCCAAGUUGGGGAAUGACCAGUGCUACUCCUGCAGAUGUUAUCAGUGACUGAGCUGGGAUAUAAGGCUUCAGGUCGCUAGGGUACCUUGGACGUAAGUUGCUCAGGGCUUUGUAAAUUAACUCUGCAAGAUGUAAUUCACUAGCACCUGAAUGGUGACAGGUUCCUUGUCCCUCAUUUAGAAAGCAUCUAAGUUUCCCAUUGCUUCAACCUCAAAGGACCUGGACAUUUGUAGUUCUCCAAUGAAGUUAAGGUUCUCAAAUGGACCAUUUUUAGAGACUCCCUGUCCUACUCACCUGCCCCGUACACCGAAGAGUCCCAGGGUUAGUUAUGGGAAGCAUUACGCAAACCCAGUUUAAAAUUUGUACUGUAGGUGUUUCAAAGGGGAUUAAUAAAAAAUAAUAAAAACUUGCCAGCAACAGCUCGCAAAAGAUUUACAAUGGAAAUUGAAGCACCUGAAUCCUUGACCCCUGGAUUAUUUAUAUUACUAUGUUCUCUAUGAUCAAGACCUGCUGAUUAUUGCUAUACAUAUCAAAAUGUCAUCAUAAAACCUUUUCUGAUUCAAAUGAGAUUUGGGUGGAUUUAAAUCAAAGCUCCUCACUUCAAACCCUUCUCAAGUGCAAAAAGGAGUUAUUGAUUCCCAUAAACCAGGGCAUCACUUCUACAUCCCUUAAAUUCUGGUGGCAUAGGGAGACUGUGCGCGGGCUGCUUCUCCAGUCUGAGUCACUGCCAGGAAAUCUUUGAAAUAACACUGUUUUCGCAAAGGGGGAAAUCCAUUUCAAAAUAAUAGCAAGACAAAAUAUUAGUGAUCCACUCCUUGGAGUUUUGGAGAUUAGAAAACCUCUUGCCCUUUAAAUUCCAGCUUUCAAAGAACACUAUGGAGAAUUGCUUGAGCUCUUAGCUCCUCUAUCUGUUUGGCUUUGCUCUAGUGGCGAGAGCAUCGAGUGCGCGGCUGAGUGCCAGGCUGAAUGCCUUUAAAUAGAAGAAGCCAGACAGACAUUUUGGGCUGGCUCCAAGAUUUUGAAGGCCCACAAGCAAGGCCCAACAGCAAGUGGGCAGGACGUGUUAAGCAAAGGACUGCUUUUAUGACUGUCCACUGUCUCCUCCUCCCGCCCUCCCUCAUACAUUUAGCGUUUUCUUCAGUCCCUGCACCCUUCCCUAGGGAUGGGCAGAUCCUCAAAGUACAGCUUGGAGACAGCAGCUAUUUCUGAUACUGGGUUACUGAUUAAAUGUUGAACAAAAUGGUUCCUUUGGUGGUAGCAGCUAGAAGCUGAAUGUUACCAGAAUGUUUGCUUUAACUUCUUUUAUGUUACUCCUCUUCUAAGAUGUUGAGUAGUUUCCCCUGGGGAAGAACAGAAAAUGUACUCAGAACGUGUCAGUAAAUCUGACAACUUUGUAAACAAAUCCUCUUGCAGAAAUUGGUUUGGCCGUUUGUUUGUUUGUUUGUUUGUUUUUCUUCCAUGUGGUACAGCCCUCCUUCUGUGUGCACCAAAACACAAUAGACACAAGCCCACCUCAAGUUAGCACACACAAAAAUGCCAGGCUGCCUUAAUAGCAUUGCUUCCACAAACCCUUUCAGUUCACAUAUGUAUGCUAAAUGGGGCUGGGUGAAUUUAAUGAUAGAAAGUGCUGCCCAGAACAGCACAGGAACAUAUGGAACUGCCUUCUGAUAGACUAAUUCAUUGGCCCGCCCACCCAAGAAUUGUCUAUAAUUGGCAUUUGGCCUCCAUUUUUUGUGUGCAGGAAUCUCUUAACUGGAGAGGUCAGGGGGGUGAGCCUGGGAUCUUAUGUAUGCAAAUAAUGUGCUCUGCUCCUGAGCUAUGGUUCCUUUUCCUUCAUGAACAUGGGGAAUGUUCUUCUGAUGUUCAGGAAGAGGAAGGGACAGACCCUAUAACCUGAGUUACAGGGUGACAUAGAGGGUGAAGCUUCUAGCAAAGGGUUUAGGCUUGAAUGUGGGAUGGAUGAACCAGAAACAACAGCUGAUUGGGAUGUGUGGAUUGUGGUCCAUAUAAAGGCAUUGUUGCCCCAUCCAACAGAGGUAAAUGCUAAUACAACAGGUGAUCUAUACAUGUCCCCAGAGCUGAAAAGGCUUGAGCCUGGAUAUAAUAAUGCCUUGAUAGCUCAGUUGGUUAGAGUGUGGCACUGAUAAUACCAAGAUUGUAGGUUCAAUCCCCAUAUUCCUGCAUUGCUGGGGGUUGGACAGAUGAUCCUCGGGAUCCCUUCCAACUCCACAAUUCUAUGAUUCUAUGAGCCAAGGCUAGACUAGACUUCUGAGUCCAUGACAGACACAAAGCAUGUGUGUACCUAUUUGCACAUGUAUUUAUUUCUAUUGGGUUGGAGCCCAUGUUUGUGGUUAGAAGGCUUCUGAGUGACUUAUCAAGCUACCGUGUGAGAUGAUUGGCUAGACAUCACGCACUAGGGAACCAAAAGUUCUAAGACGGAAUUAUUCAGGGAGCCAAGACACAUGGGCCAUUCUAGACUACUGAGCCCCAAACUACAUAUUACAGUUAUUCAUUCAUGGCUAUAUUUCUUUAGAAGAAAAAGCACCUGUGGGACCUCAAUCCAGAUCAAGGCCCACACCAGCUUUCUGCCAACCCUUUCUCCACCAUCCUGAAGGCAUGCAUUAAUGCAAACAGCACCUUCAGAUUCAAACAGCAGACAGGGAAGAAGUGAUUUUCAGCAGUAAAUUGGUGCAGGGCCCUGAUCCAUAUUGGAAACCCAUUCUGGAUUAGGACCCAGCCCAUAUGCCAGCUAGGGUGGGUGGGGGUUGUGGUCCAAAAGAUCUGGAGGGGACAAGUUUGGCAAAAACUGAUAGUGAAUCAAACUUUAAAAGGUGGGUUCUGUUUCAGUUCAGGUUCAUGAGUAUAUAACUCUCCAGUCUGGUUCUGGUUCAGACAUAUGUACCAGCUUUAAGAAACUGGACUUGUGUGGAUGGUGUCUUUAUGUAGCUUAGUUGCUAGGUGGCACUAGACUUAUUUUAUGUGGCUGGAGGCACAAGAUUUCUAUUCCAUUCCAUUCUGCUAAGGGAAACAAUGAAAUUUCCAUCUAGCUUCCUGACUAGUGUGUCCUCUAAGCCUUCCGUGACAAAUUUGGAACCAAUUUGAACUGUAAAUAGAAUCAUUAAAUAAAUAAAUAAACUUUUACAGUCACAGUGUAACUCGUAGAAAAUGAAUGCAUGAUAAAUAUUUAAUUUGAGAAAUACAGUGGUACCUCAGGUUAAGAACUUAAUUUGUUCUGGAGGUCCGUUCUUAACCUGAAAAUGUUCUUAACCCGAGGUACUAUUUCUGGGUUAGCGGAGUCUGUAACCUGAAGCAUCUGUAACCUGAGGUACUACUGUAGGUAUUUUUAUUUUUAUUUACCUGCAAUUUACGUGCACUAAUGCUAUAUCCUCCUGAACUUUCUCAGUUGUAUUUGACAACUUAGUGGAUUGAAUGAAUUUCAGUCCCAAAUUGUUCCUUUCUAUAUCAACUAGCAACACAGUUUUAGCUCAUAAAUGCCAUUAUAUAAAUCUGUGCAGGCAAUUCUUAUGUUCUUAUUUUCACUUUUACAGACAUGAAGCUCAUUGAUAAAGUAAUCCAGGUAAGAACCAAUACAUUUAUGGGCCUCUCUUUGUUAUUCUCAGCCCUCUGGGGAUUAGUUUGAAGUAGUAAUCUGAAAAAUCAAUCACACAUACAUCAUUUGAAAUAUAAGCUUCGAGAAUUUUCAAACUAUAGUUUCGUUAGAUUAGCUUAUUCUUUGUCUUCAGCUGAGCAAAGCAAUUUGUAUUUGGGAUCAAAGUAAAUGCCAGAGUCAUGAAAAUUACCAAGCUCUCUAGCUCCUGUCUGACUCUGCUGCUGCAAUGAUUACCUAUGAAAUACAGCAUCUUUUGCCUGCCUUUCUACAACUGAAGUAUUGGGGGAGAGGGGACAAGCUCCUUCUACUCACGCUUAAAAGAAUCUCUUGGAUUUCUUCUCAGAGAAAGUGGUUAUAUUGUUUGAUAUUUAUGGGUGCAGAUCAGUUUCAAGGCAGUCAAGAAAUUUUACAACUGGCUUUGUCCUGUUCUGAUGAUUUUGGUCAAGUCCCCUCCCCCACCCCAAUUCCCCCCAAAUUGGGAAAUUUCUGAAAAUUGGGGACAGGCAGGAGAACUUUGGUGAAAUAUUCAGGAGUAUAUUGGCAGCUUACAUCACAUUCAGAACAGCAAAAUUCAUUGCAGUACCUUUGAAAAUGCUCUCAACAUUGAAUGGAUCUAGGUAAGGGUCUUCAUAUCCAGCUAGGGAUGUUCAUUCUGCACCAUCUGAGCUUGAGCAGGUGUAAACCAGACUGGUGCAUCCUCCAUAUUUUACUUAUUCUUAUUCUCUGAAUUAAUGCUUCAUGUGGAACUGAAUUGUUACAGCUGGGGUGGCCAAUGUGGUGCUCUCCAGUGGUACUACGCUGCUGGAUUACAACGCCCAUCAUUCUUGAUCUUGGCUGGGGCUGAUGAGAGUUGGAAUCCAACAUCCAACUGGACAGGGGGGACAAUACCUUGAGGUAGAGAACUUCCUUCACUGAAAUUGCAUACCACAAAAUAGUCCCACUUAAAAAAAAAAAGUAGUUUGGCUACUUCAGUUUUACUGUGCCAGGAUGGAGGUCUGACCUUUUUAACUAGUUUUUGGAUUUCAGUUCAGUUUUGGUUACCCACCCCCACCCCAACCCACAUAUUUGAUCAGCACAAGACAGGAAGUUGUCUUCAACAGCCUCUGUUAUGCAGCAUCCUGAAUAGUUAGAUUUUACAGUGGUUCUCAACCUGUGGGUCCCCAGAUGUUGUUGGACUACAACUCCCAUCAUCCCUGAGCUCUGGCCUUCCUAGCUAGGGGUGAUGGGAGUUGUAGUUCAACAACAUCUGGGGACCCACAGGUUGAGAAAGGCUGGGUUAGAAGUACUAAUGGAAGAGCUAAACUAGCAGGAUUCAAUCCGUUCUUGUGAGUUUUGCUGUAAUUUUAUUGCCGUUUUGAUAGUGUUAGCAGCCUUGAGUUUGCUUUCAGAACAAAAGGUGGGUUGUAAAUUGAAUGCAUAAAUAAUGAAAACUAAGCAAUGCAGACAUCACGUCGUCUCAGAUAUAUCAGUAAAUAAUCAUCACCUAACAAACUGCACCAGACCUUAUUCUCAAAAGAAAGCUGAACUAAAUAUCUGUGCCACUUGACAAGGCGGUGCCUGAGUUUCAGGUCAAGAAAACUGUACCUCAACCAGGAAUAAAGAGUAAGGGCACAGGUACUGGGUUAACUGAGGGGCACACAACUUUUAUUUCACAUUUAUAGCCAUCAAUCUGCAGCAAGAGCCUGAAAGUUGUGAAGCAACAGGAUAGUCUUUCUACCUCCUUGCAACCAGAAUAUUCUGGAUAAGGCAUCCUGACCCAAACACAAGCAGUAGACAUCUCUGCUUGUGUCUGCCUGGCCACCUCUUGGUUGAGGGAGGCUCUUGCUGUGACAUCAUUGCAUUUACUAGAUUGUUGUUGUUUAGUCGUUUAGUCAUGUCCGACUCUUCAUGACCCCAUGGACCAGAGCACACCAGGCACUCCUGUCUUCCACUGCCUCCUGGAGUUUCAUCAAAUUCAUGUUGGUCUCUUCUGUAACACUGUCCAACCAUCUCGUCCUCUGUUGUCCCCUUCUCCUUGUGCCCUCAAUCUUUCUCAACCCCAGAGUUUUUUUUCCAGAGAGUCUUCUCUUCUCAUUAGGUGGCCAAACUAUUUGAGCCUUAGCUUCAGGGUCUGUCCUUCCAGUGAGCACUCAGGGUUGAUUUCCUUCAGAAUGGAUAGAUUUGGUCUUUUUGCAGUCCAUGGGACUCUCAAGAGUCUCCUCCAGCACCACAAUUCAAAAGCAUCAAUUUUUCCGCGAUCAGCCUUCUUUAUGGUCCAGCUCUCACUUCCAUACAUCACCACUGGGAAAACCAUAGCUUUAACUAUAUGGACCUUUGUUGGCAAGGUGAUGUCUGCUUUUUGAGAUGCUGUCUAGGUUUGUCAUUGCUUUUCUCCCAAGAAGCAGGCAUCUUUUAAAUUCAUGACUGCUGUCACCAUCUACAGUGAUCAUGGAGCCCAGGAAGGUAACAUCUAUUUACUAGAUAGGAAAAGGGUAUUUGUGCAAGAUAUCAGCACCCCUUCUUGAUGUAAUGUCAUUGGCUAGAGUAACCAACCAGUCAGCACUUUGCUGGUCUAUCCAACAGGUUUGGAGAACUGGAUCCUUAUCUUUCUCAUCCUCCCUUCCCGAACCAAGUUUGACAUGGGUGGGGCAGCCACCUGUCAAUCACCUGACAUCACAAUGAUACCAUUUUUGCCUAUGCAGUUUGAAAUCAAGUUGUGUAGGUAGAUAGAUAGAUAAUACUUUAUUCGGCUAUAAGCCCACAGGGUAAAACAAAUCAAUAGAUAAAAAUCAAUAGAUAAAAUCAAUAGCAUUUUACAAUCUAAAAUAUCAACUAAAAUAUUUCAACGCAUAAUCUCUAAAUGUACCGUGUUAUGGCCUUGAAGAUAAAGAUGGUGCAUAGAGUUUUCUGAAUUUUUAAUAGUCAUGCAGCAUUCCCUGAAGUCUUUUAUAUGACAGAACUGAGAUCAGGAAUCUAGCAACCUGUAAAGUUCUAUAAGAGUCAAUGUCCUGGAGUAGAUAAGCUAGAUGUAAUUCAGGUGGUUUAGCAGCAAUUUCCAGAAUGAUUGAACUCAGGAUCCUUGAUCGGGGAACAUUAUAUAAGGGGCAAUUAAACAAGAUAUGAUAAAGGGAUUCUAUCGAUUUGUUGUCACAUGCGCACAAAACAGAGAUUUUACCGUUAGAAAAUCUAUUGCUCAGCACAUUUGAGGGGAACACAUUAAAUCUGGCUCUAACAAAUGCGAAUCUAUGCGACGCAGCCGAUAAAGUAGACAGAUAUCGAGGUAUCUGGGACAUAUAUGUAAUGCCCUGAUAUAUCGGGGAACAUGUACCUCCACCUGUGGUAAGAUUUUGUUGUAAAUCUACCUCCUCCAGUCUUUGUUUGAUGACCUUUUUAGCUGUAAUUAGAUCUAAAUUAAGUAUAUCGGAGGGAGAGAUUCCAUAAGACAACAGUUUGGAAUGGAUUUUUGUUGCCCAUGGGCUGGUGAAUUCGUCUCUCCAAAGGCACUGAAUAAGAUGGUAGUUUGGCAAUUUAUGCCAAAGGGACAGCCAAUAAUUAAAGGCAUGUCUCCACAUCAGAAUCUCAAGGGAGGGGGUCUUAAGUUCUAAGCGAAUGGCAGAGUUGCUUACACAGGAGGGUAGUUUCAAAAGGCGUCUUAGAAAAGGUUUUGCAAUGUCACCAGAGGCAAGAGGUUUACAAAGACGCCCCAUAAAGGGACCGCAUAGGCCAUAGUUGCAACCACUUUUGCACUAUAAACUUUUAAGGCAGAUGGAACAUGCAUAGCCCCUCAGUAAAGAAGAAGCGUAGUAUAGCGUAGAUAAGGGCUUUCACCUUGUUUUGUAGAUAUGUGAUAUGCGCUUUCCAUCCCAUAUUAUACUGGAAGUAAAUUCCUAGAUAUUGAAAUUUGUAAACUUGUUCAAUUGGCUUCCCUCAAGUUCCCAUCUAUACAGUUUACGACUCCUGGAAAAAAUUAGGACUUUAGAUUUGGAAUGGUUAAUAGUAAGUAAAUUUGUUUGGCAAUAUGAUGCAAAAAUCUUAAGGGCCCUCCUCAAACCGAUUCGAGAAUAAGAGAGGAUCACCGCAUCGUCAGCGUACAAUAAUAAGGGGCAGCGAUAGUCUGCAAGCCUGGGUGCAUGAAUGGAGGUUUGGGCCUCAGCUAGGGGCGUCCUCAUGUCACUAAUAUAAAGGUUAAAAAGAUAGGGGGCAAGGAUGCACCCUUGUCGUACCCCCUUGUUUAUUGGAACUGAGUUUGUGAGAUCGCCCUCAGGUGUUAACCUCACCCUAGCAGCCGUCCCUUCAUGUAAUUUAAUCAAUAGCCACAACAGCCUUUUAUCUAUGCCCCACUUUGCCAGUUUUUCCCAUAACAGCUCUCUAGAGAUACUGUCAAAAGCCGCCUUCAGGUCUAUAAAAGCGGCACAUAGAAGACCAUGAGUAGGGGAAGAAUAUUUCCGCGCCAAAUGAUAUAGAAUUAUAGCAUGGUCAAUAGAAGCGCGAUUUGGUCUAAACCCGACCUGUUCAUGGCCUAUCAGAUUGGAAUCUUCGGCCCAUUGGGUUAGUCUGGUUAGCAAGAAGCGAGUGUAGAUUUUUCCGAUGAUUGAUAAUAAACUGAUAUUACGAUAGUUUCCUGGGUCCUCUGGUGGUCCUUUUUAUAUAUAGGAAUUAUGAUGGACUCCUUCCAUGAUGUAGGUAUCUGGCCCGUGGCAUUGAUUGUAUCAAAGAUUUUUGCAAGAAUUUUAGCCCACCAUAUUGGAUGUUGUUUAAUAGCUUCCGCCGGGAUCAGAUCGGGCCCUGGGGCUUUAUCAGUUUUCAGUUUGGCAAUUAAAUCUACUAUUUCCUCCGGGUCAGUAUCUGGCCAUAUGGGCAAGUUACUUGAGAGAGUAUCAGAUUGGAUGUUAGAGAUGUCUGUCUGGGAGAAAUAUUUUCUUAGAAAUUGUUCCCAUGUCGGGGCUGGGAUAACCGUCAAUGGGUAUUUCCUCGAUCUUUUGUUGAUUAAAUUCCAAAAACCGCGAGAGCUGCGAAGCUUAGAGGCAGCAAUCAGCGCUUGCCAACGUCUUAGCUGCCACUCGUGCUUGGCUGACUUCUGAGCCUGUUUGUAAGCAAUUUUGGCCUGCAAGUACUCUGGGGGGAGAGUUUCAGCUCCAGAGGCUUUAUAUCUGUUGUAGAUACAACAGAGAGAGAGUCUAGCUUGCUUACAUUUGGCUUCAAACCAAGGAGCACCGAACCUGGGUUGAUCUCGUUUUGCGAGGUGAGCCGGCAUCGUAAAGAAGCUAGUUAAAUCUGCAGAGAAGUGGAAGAACCACUCCAGUAUCCUAUUUGGUUCAGACAGCUCCGCCAAUGAAACAAUAAGGGAUUCGGAGCUAUUCCUCUGGAAGAAUUCUGCAUAUUUUUGGGCCUGUUUCAUGGACCAUUUAAUGCCUCUUACUUGAGCUGUGGCAUUUAAACCUACAUGAAUUGGGUGUGUUCCGCUAACCGGGUGCCAGUCAAGCGUUAGCUUGGCCGCUAGAGGUAGGUGAUCACUGGAUUGUACAUUAUCUACUUUGAAAUAAAAGAAAUUUGAAAAUAGGUCUUCUGAGACUAGAAGAUAAUCUAGGACACUAUUAGAUGUUGUGCCCAAAUGAGUGAAUUCACCUGGCACGUCCGGAGGGCAGUUGCCAUUUAGAAUGUUCAAAUUCAUACGAAUGGCCAAUUGAUAAAGAAGGACUCCCGCCUCAUUCACUCUGUUGUCCUUGGAUCUUCUUGAUGUGAAAGAGAUUAAAUCAGAUUUUGGGUAGGGGGGAGAUACCCACCACUUGGCCUUAAUUAUCCCAUUCCAGUUGGCAGCUGUACGUGCAUUGAAGUCACCACCCAUUAUCGAUGGAAUAUUAGGGUACUUAACAUAGCAUGCCAAUAAAUGAUCUUCCAGAGAAUCCCAUCUAUAAUGAAGGUCUGAUAUCAGACCACCUGGAGGAAGAUAAACAUUGGUGAUUAAUAGUGAGAGUUUUUCACUUGAAAUCAGACCAGUAAAAGCAAAAGGAGGAAAGGUAUGAACUAGCGAGAGUUUAGCUCUCAUUUUAAGCGAUAUGGCGAUUGCAAGACCGCCACUGGACCGGCCACCUUUCUGGGAGGGGAUAGCUGGAAGUGAUAUCAGUUCAAAGCCAUUUAUAUCUAUUUUAUCUUCUUCCCAUGUUUCUUGCAAAAGGAUUAUCUGGAAAGAGUUUAUAUAGGACAGAAAUUCGGGAUCUAAUCUUUUCCUUUUCCAGCCAGCAAUGUUCCAACUUAGGACUGCUAGCAGGGGACUUCUAUGUUGUUCUUUUAACAGUCAAAAUGGAGGGGGGGCAGACUCUCUGUUAAAGACAGAAGAUGUAACAAAAAAGUCAGUUAUUUUACUUUGGGAAGAUGGUAACUGUGAGGCGCCCUGCAAAUUAAAGUUUUUAACAAUUUGGUUCGACUGUUGGCACACCGUGGAUGAUCCACUGAAAGUAGAUCUCUGAACAGGAAGUCUCUUCAUUUCGAAAUUCUUGGUACAACUUGACAGAGAAAUACCCAGGUAGGGGAAAUUGAGUCCGUCGGGGUAAACCCUCUCGUAGAUUUGUCAUCCGACAUUCGGAUUAUUUUAUUGAUGCGUCCCAUCGGGUCUUCAAUCAUUUCUGACGGCGGGUCCCGAGGUGUAACAUUCGCAGUUUCCUUUGAAGGAGGUAAUUGAGGGGGCAUCACGGAGGUGGAAAUUGCGGAAGACUCUCUCAGGGGCAUCACUUGUGGACUACUUCUAUAUCUGGACGAAACUGGAGAAGAUUCUAGCUCUGGCAUAGAUGAGUGAGUUAAAGAGGGAUUUGAGUCAAGCAGGGAAAUCAGAAUUUCGUCCUUAGGUAUGUUGGUUGAUGAAUAUAGAUGAAGGUUCAGUGAGGAUGGCAGAGCCUGGUCGUCUCGUGAUGUAGCGCACGCUGCAGAAGCAACUUGAAGAUUUGAGUCUUGUCGGAUGGUUUUUGAAUUCAGAGUGGGGCUGAGCUGAAGAAGGUCAACCACUUCUGUCCGGUGGGCCCAAGUGGGAUUAUUUGAGACAUCGUUAGUAUCUUCCCUCUAUGUUGAACUUGCAAAAGCUGAGAUUUAAGCGUGUCAAAUCUUUGCAUCAUCACCGACUGUUCUUUCGGAGGAAGGGCUCUGAAUGAAUCAAUAAGUUCCCUUUCGUCGAGGGCAGUCUGCAGAUUAUCAUCCUCAUAUAUAGCAGUUUGAGAGGGUAUCGAGUUUGGUCGCGGAUGGCACGCUGCAGAGUCAUCGCGAUUGGGCCUGACAGUAUUUUGAAGUAAGGCAGAGUCUCUUGUCCUAAUGUCCUCACCGCCAGGGCACCUAUUUAGAAGGGGUUUGAUCUUGCUGUCUGUAAAAACCCUCGUUGCUACAAUGUCGGCCAUGGACAAAAGCGUUUUCCUCCUAACAAUAAUAGAUGGUAUCUUUUCAGAGUGGAACGCAAGUAUCACCUUCAAGAAGUUGGUCUGCCGGGGAAGGGGCAUUACAGCAUAUAGGUCAAUCUGAUAUUUCUUAAUUUUUAAAAGUUUGCUUAAGCAGUCUUUAGCUCCUUCUAGCGUUGACCAUCUUCCUCUUUCCGACCUGACAGAUAGGCAACUUUUCUUGGGUUGCAAAGUUAAUAUCUGAUUGUUCAAUUGGGAAUUUAAGACAUAUUUAGUUUUAGUCUCCAGUAUUUUAUCUGAAUGGGGGUGAGGCAAUAAGUUUUUGACCUCACAAACUGAGGAUUGUGUUGUUGAUUCAAGUUUUCCGAUUUUCAGCAGGAUAUUGGAUAAUUGUGAAGAUACCUCGUCCAGCCUUUUAAAAAUACAGUGAAGGGUCUUAAUUACUAAGUGUAACUGCUCACAUCUGGGGAACUCCCCAUAACAGAUGCCAAACCAUCAUCCUGCGAUGAGAGUUUUUCUUUCGUAUUCUCCUUUACAGGCUUUACAUUUGAAACAUUUUGAGUCAUCGGAAUCGGAGUAGCUUCUAAAUCAAUUAGAGGUUGGAAGCGAUUUUGGGUUUCCACUGCAAAGCCUUGCUCGGCAUGGUCACUCCCUCCUCCAAUCCGGUGUGGCACCAACCUUGAUAGUUUUGGUUUAGGGGAUGAUAGGGGCUCGUCAAAGUCUCUCAAGCGUUUUUUCUGACCCAUGCUUUCCUCAGGCCAGAGAUUAUACGAUUCUUAAAAUAACAUAACACUUAACACGCAAUUAAGAUAAUGGCGUUCUCAACUCCUUUAGCAGCUAAAGCCAGCCCGCUGAUAUGAGAGAAACAAAGAGCGGCUUGCAGCAGUCUGGAGCAGGGCCAAAUCUCUCAAAGAGUUUCCAUAGUAUGCGGCUGCAGCAAUUAUAAAAUACUUCAAAAACUGACUGAGUCAGUUGCGAUAAAAGUAUAAAAGAUUAAGAGAAGAUUAAAAGAAGUCCGAAGAGCACCGGUAAGCGCGUCUUACCUCGGCGCCAUGUUGGCUUCCUCCUUUCCAAGUUGUGUAGGUAAUGGCACAGCACUUUGCAAGCCCUGAUGAUCAGCUGAUAGUCACUGCUUGCAAAGCACCCUGCAGAGGGCUUUUUGGGUGCUGGUGAUUGGCAGCGCCAUAAACCACCUUUCGGCCCAGCCAUUUUUACCUGCCCUACAUCUGAUGCCAUAUAGGAUGUUUGGUGUAGGGCAGAUUGGCCCAAACAGCCUCAUGGAACAAACGGAGAGGCUGGCAGGCCUAAUUAGCACUCUGGCAUAGCUAAGAUUGUGUUCUGACAUAUAUCCACAAUUGAGGUCUGAAAAACCAGUAAGCUCAAUCUUCUGACAAACCAGAUUCAUCUGGCUCCCCUGACCUGCCAGAUCCCCUCUGGUUCUGGCAGGUUCUGACAUGGCUUCAGUGCCCUGGACUCCACUUCCUUGUUCCUCCUGGCAGGAGAAGGUAAGUUUUGAAAUCACAAGUUGACAAAUGUUUAAAAAUGCCUUAUGAAUUUGUAAUCCACCACGCCAUGAUGUGACUUCACUCAUGAACUGAUUCCUCUGUGGAAGUCAGUUGCCUCCAAACUGUCACACAGACUUCAUGUAAAGGAUAUAAAAAGGAAGUUACUGUCCUAGCCUUCUGCACAAUAGCCGCACUCAGCAGAAUUAGAGCACAUUAAGGUUUCAUUAAUAACAUGGCUUGCUGAAGUCAAGAAGCUGGCUGCAUUAAAGAAAUAUAAUUAGCUCUAAAAGCAUAAUAGCGUAAAAGUCAUCAGUAGGCUCCUUGGCCCUCAGUGUACAAACAAAUGUGUUGUUUUCUUAAAGAGCUAUUUAAGAGGCUAUUGGCUCUACAAAUGAUACCAUUAGUUGGGAGUGUCUGCAAGAUGCCAAACCAAAACACAACUGCAAGAACAGCCAGAAAAGUUAUUUAUCGUUCUUUGGUUACUUAGUGGAAACAUGGUCUUGCAUACAAAGAGCUGCAUUAAAAGCUCAUUGGGGGGUCCCAACAAAAGUGCUGAAAGCUGGCCUCAGUUCUUCCCUCAUGAUAUACCUCCAUGGCCUUCUCUUGCAGUGUUGAGGAAAAGGAUCCAGUCUUGUGACCCUAUAUUAGAACAAAGAUGACUACCAUGAUUGUAACAACUAUUGUGAAAUCUCUCUGUUGACUACAGUGGGGAAAAUCUUUGCCUGUGUAUCUCUCAAAAGAUUACAGUUCCUCAUUAGCAGAGUCUCUCCCAAGCUUUAGAGCUCAGAGGUCAGCAUGACAUGAUUUUCUUUAAUAUGAUAUUUUAUUUGCCACUCCCAGCUUGCUGGUAGCUCUUCCUUGGCCUGUGGUUCAAGUGGAGGUGGCCAACCUCUAUAUAUCUGGUGUCAUUAUGGAACAUGUGUCACAUUUGUUCUCUUUUGAAAGAGGGGAAAAACUCAGCAACUGUGGCAGGAAGUUGGCUAUAUGUUAAAGCAAUAAUAAUAAGCCAGGGGUAAUGUUCUGGAAGUCAGUUCACUGAAGGAUAAAUGAAACUUUGGGAAAACCAGAGAAAGCUUUGGGGCUUUUGAGCAAAAGUGAGGUCUUCUAAUGUUCUCAAUGGUAUUUGUGGGUGGUAAAAUGGGGCAGGGUGAAGGUGGGAUAAUGUAAAAUCCACUAUAAUUGUUCCUCAGAAAUGUCUCCACUGAUAAAAUUUUGGCUCACUUGAUGUUGAAUGAAACAAUUAUUCAGUGGAGGGAGGAAGCUACAGGCUAAGAGAGAAGAACUGGGUUGGAAAGGAGCCAAGCUUCCUUCAACAACACUGAAAUAAAAUCCAAACAAUAUUAGAAUUGGAUCCACAGUUGCAUCCGAAACAUAUAGAUGGUGAAACUGGGCUGGCCAUUUGCUGAAUAUUCUUCAGGAAUGACUCAAGAUCUCCAAGAGUUCAGGAACAGCUCAAAAGAAAGCUAUUUUUCUGCUAUCGUUCAGACUGUGGUUGCACAUGGGGACUAGUGGUAUGCUAUGUCUGCAUCUUGUCUUGCAGGCCACCUAUGUUCUUCUGGCACAUAGGCCCUGUGGGUUCUGCUUGGAGCAUGCCUCCAAUGUGUCCAAAAAGGUCAAUCCAAGAGUGACAAAAGUUGAGAGUAAGGAAGGGUCCUGUAAUAGGAUCUCUGUUGAGGUUUAGCUGAUGUUGGAAUCAGCUCCAGUGGAAGCUAAUGUUAUCUAAGCAGGUUAUCUAUCAGUAAAAGAAGCACCUAGCAGAACCAUCAGAAGCUCGGGCAUUCAGAACCAUCAGAAGGGUGGCAUCACAGACCCAUAAAUCCAUUGGGUGAAAAUCGUCAUAAAUAAAACUUCCACUGCUUCCAUUGCCGUGGGUGGGAGGAGGUGGGCUUGGUGGAGUAGAAGGUAACCCUCUAAGCUGCUGUAAUGACAGCUUUCUGUCUCCAGCCACACCUUUCCAUUUUUGAAUUGGUCUGAAAUUCUUCACAGUGUAACAUUUAAAAAGCAAUAAUAAUCGUAUCAUCAGAGAAUGUUUUUGAUUAUUAUUAUUUUUUGCCAAGCCUGGGCAAAAGAAAUGGUAGUUUAAGUAGACAGUAAAGACACAGUAUGCUCUAGCAGAAGUGACAAAAAUAUCAUAAAGACAAUUUAUUCCUCUUCUGCAGUUUGCACUACAGUUUUUACAAAGAGUGCCAAAGGUAAUUAGCAGCAGAAUUCAGAUAAAGUAUUCAAACUUUGGGAUCUAAACAGCCUAAUCUCUGGGCCCCAACUAUGUUGAAUAGCUCAUUCAGAUCUCUCUCUGUACCAUAUAAGACACACAUCUCCUCUUACCUUGUAAAUACCUCCCUGAAAACUUUGCUCGGGCAUUUAGAACAGCAGGUGAUCUCCAAUACAUGCUGUUCAUCUGAAACAGGAAUCUUUUCCCUUUAUGUGCUAUCUCAAGAGAGGCAAAUGAGAAAGCCCAUUGGAAAAGUAUUCUCACUAAUAAAAUGUUAUCUCAAAAAGCACCGUCAAAUAAUGCAGACAGAGCAUUAAUGCAUAAACAAAGCUGUCACCCUUGGUGGAUCGGCUGUGAUUUAGCAUUGCAAAAACAGAACAAUCACAGCUGAGUGAUGGGGUGGGGAGGGAGGAAAUGAAUUUGUAUUUUAUCACAGCAAUUUCCUACAGAUAUUAUCAAGCCAAUUCAGCAAAAGGAGUGAAUAGGUAGAUAUUGCUGGAUUAGGGGAGCUCAUUUGCAAACCUUCUGAUCAAAUCAACAGCUGUGGAAAAGUUUGUUCAAAGUCAAUAUGCUACACACCAUAGAAAUGUUACACACCAUAGUUUAGGCCAUGAAUGGCCACUUAACAGCCUGGGGUUCAAAUCAAUACCCCAAAACAACAUGGCGUCCCUUCAGGAACCUCCCCUGUUUUAAGGGAAGUGUGGUCAAACUCCCCCCCCAUACAAUUAGGACAUCUUUCAAAAAGUUUGUUACUGUUUCAGCCCAUCUCUGAUGAUGACCUUAUACCACUUGGGCAUAUCACCAGGACAUUUUCUGAAGAUGUUAAACCAAUUGUGUAAAGGAACCUACAGAUUUUAAAUUUUAUUUUCCCUAAAGGGGGGAGAUAACUGGUGGAAUCUGCCCUUUAAAAAAGCAAUAAAAAUAUUGUUGAGCAGAUCUGUUACAGAUCUGAAAUUCGGGAAGAUGGCGAUAUAGCUUCACCGGAAGUCCUCCAGAAUAGAUUUUCAAAUGAAAAUGCUAACACUAUGCACCAGGAUUUCUGCUAAGAUCAGAAACAAGCCUAUCUGCUACUGAAAGGAUGGGGAAUCUCUAUCCCUCCAGAUGUUGUUAGAUUCCAACUCGCAUCAGUCCCAGCAAGCAUGACCUGUGGUUAGGUAUGGUCGGAGCUGCAAUUCAACAACAUAACAGAGGGGUGCAGAUUCACACACCCCUUGCUCUGCUGAAUCCAUUUUAACAGUGUCAACACAAGCAGAUGAGCUGAUGAAACACUCUGGUCACACAUCACAUCUGUGCAACAGCAAAGGCUAUGCUUGGGCACAGCAGUUUUCCUGAAAAACCAAAUUCAAUUUUGAAUAGACAGGCUUCUAGCCCACACUGCUGCCAGCUCAAUACAACUUGAAAACAUGAAUGAAAUGUGUUUUGAGCGAUCAAAAUUCAAAGGAGAGAGACCCCCCGCCCCCAUUUUUCCAAGAUCAGUCAGUGAUCAGCUUUCCUGUACUAGGCACUGACCUCGAUAUCAUUCAGACAAUAUAAUAUUUCAAUCACACAGAUCGCAAUAAAACGAGAGAGAGAGAAAUUCAGUACAAUUAAUCUCCAGUUUAGACUAAACUAAGAUCCAUUAUCUGCUUAGGAGUCCCCUACAUUAACUAUCCUGAUUUUUUUUUCUAUUUCCUUCACCCUGAGUUUUCUUACAGCUAAAGCAUAGUGUGCUGUUCUAUAGGUCAGGGUGUUUCCAAGACAGCCGCUGAAUGAAUAACUGAAACCUAACAAAUCAAUUAAAUCCCUCAAACUGAUGUCACAUUAAUUCAAUAUUUGAGAAGGAAUCAACUUCCAGAAUUAAAUAAUAUAUGUCUCUGUGAGUAAAUACUGGGUGGGGGGGAUCACAUUAAUUUCUCAGUCUCAGCAGUAAAUACGGUUACUGCAGAAUACAAUUUAUGACUUAUUCAUGUAGCUAGCAAUAUUUUAUAGACUGAAUUCCUUUUGCUCUUAAAAGUUCAAGUCAAUAUGUCUGCAGACGCUGCUGUGAUUUACAUAUUGUUGUAAACGUGCUCCUUGAGAAUGAAGGAUUGCAUUUUCCUCUAGGGAUUUUCUUUAGCCUAGCACUUGAUGGAGGAUGAUAGGAAGGUCCUCAUUUGUGAUGUCUGAGGGUACAUCAACUGCUGGACAUUGUGUUCUCCCUCACCUGCUUGGAUGGGGGUGGGUGGGAGCUGAACCAUCUUUGGUUGUCUGACAUCUGUCAACAUUUAAUAUGAGUUUUGAGCUCUGCAGUGGCUGGAUGCAUCUGUAAGCCACUACACCAUGCGACUUAAUCUUGUUUAUGCAUGUAUGUAUAGUGGCACCUCAGGUUAAGUAUUUAAUUCAUUCCGGAGGUCUGUUCUUAACCUGAAACUGUUCUUAACCUGAAGUACCACUUUAGCUAAUGGGGCCUACUGCUGCUACCGUGCCGCUGGAGCACGAUUUCUGUUCUCAUCCUGAAGCAAAGUUCUUAACCUGAAGCACUAUUUCUGGGUUAGCAGAGUCUGUAACCUGAAGCGUAUGUAACCCAAGGUAACACUGUUGUGGCCUAGGAAGCUGAUGGGCACCCAGAGUGGUAAGCAUUAUGUGCACCUGGGGGCGGGCCGAUCUGCCCAGGGGCGAGUCAGUCAGCCCACUGGGGUGCGCUGAUCUUCCCGGGGCUGCCAUCGGCACCUUGCUGAUCUGCCCAUGGGGGUGCGCCAAAUGUCAUCCCCUUCCCUGGGAUGACACCUGUCCUUUCCCCUGCCUGUCUCCUCUAGCCAGGAGCAUGGGUGGCGGGGCAACCACACGCCCCCCUGCCCAUGACUCCCAAGCCUACAGCUACAGUGAGCUGGGAGAAGUGGUGCAGCAUCGGCUUUGCUGGUGGCCCCACUGUAGCCUUGGGAGUCACGGGGGGCAUGCCAAAUGUCACCCCCCUUCAGGGUGACACCCAGGGCGUGCCGCACCCCCCUUCCUACACUCCUCCAUGUAUGGCAUAUCUGAUUUUAAAAUCGUUUACUAUUUCAGAACAGUUUCCUCCCCAGGCCUGAAACAGAGUGAAUACGUGUAUCUAGUAUUUGCCCUGCACACUCCACACAUCUGAUCAAGUAGACUUUCACCUACAAGAAUACAGGCCUCAAUAAAGUUGUUAGGUUGAAAGGUGCAAGUUUUUGCAUUCCUAUUCUUAUUUGGAUGCUUUGGGGGCUGUGACUUAACACUCCCUUGAAGUACCCCUCCCUUCCUUUGUAAUGUCAACAAGAGAAAUCUGCCUGAAAGAAUCCACCAAUCACAUUGCUAUUUAGAUCUUUGAGAACUAAUCUCAGUAAAUUAGCUUUAUUACUUACAAUAUGUAGUUAUAUGGGCUUUAGGUUUCAUUUUUUUUAAAAAAAUCACUCCCCUUCAGCACCCCUCACUGAUAAGAGUAUUUUGAUACAGAAAAACCCACAUAUCUGAAACACUGCAGAAGUUGCUGUCCCUGUGAGGAUACCAAUAAACUACCACUCUAAGCACUCCUGACCGUCUGUGGUGUGACCUUCUCCACCACACUUUACUUUUAAAACAAAAAGGUCCCAAGAUUUAUUUUACAAUCAGCUUCUUUCAGGUCACACAAUAGACGGGAUCGUUCAGUUACUACCACCCAGGCUAGCUGCUAGCUGGAGACGACAAGAUGAAUAUCUGUAAGAUUGCAUUACCAGUUCUUGGAACCAUUGUGCAGCUCAUCUGAAUGGUGCUAUCAAAUGAUGCCCUAGAUAAACUCUCUUCAUUGCAUAUUAAAUUGGACACACAGAGAGAAUGAUUUCCCCUAUUAUUGCUUGCCAAGCCAUUUUACUUAACACAACAUUAGUCCUAUCCAUGCAUUUCCUUAAUAAACUGAUUACUCUUAGCAUUAGAGGGAAUAAGGUUAUUUCCCCCUUUAUUUUUAUAGCUUGAUUUCACUCCUACACAGAACAAUGCUUUCCCUACCCCCCCCUUUCUCUCUCUCUCUCUCUCUCACACACACACACACACAUUUGGGAUUACUAAAAUCUCUGAUAGACAGAUUAACCUCUUGUGCUCAUCUAUCUCAUCCUUAUUCAAUGAUACAUGACUACAAUGACUUUUGCAGAAGAAAGUGUUACUAUUAAAGUGUCCCAGACUGCUAGUAUAAUUCUAAAGCAGAAGACACAUACCGCAUUCUAGAAGCCUCUGUCUCCAUAAUGUCAUUCUGGGCUGGGUAUCCUGUGGCCCUGCAGAUGUUGCGGAAUUAUAAUUCCCAUCAACCUCAGUCAGCAAGGCCAAUAGUCAGGAAAGAUGAGAGUUAUCUCAACAUCUGGAAGACAUUGUUUAUUGCCUGCUUCAGAGGUUCUGCUGUUGAGAUUUGUUCAGGAUGUCAUGGGGAAUUUGGACUGGGAUCUUACAAGUGUUUCUUAAGCUUCUUGUUGCUAAAGUAUUCCAGAGGUUAAAAACUGGUUUCUUGUACCUGUCACACCGAUGGGGGCAUGUCACUUUUUUAUAUCAAGUUAUCUGCAGUUGAAUUUCUCUUAUAAUUCAUGGUGCAGAGUUAUAGUAUUUGGGGGAAACUACAGACAAGUCUAUGUAUUUGAAAACGCUUCUGCAGAUAUCGACAUUUUUGAUACUGUAUAAAUAUAAUAGUUUGUGUUGAAUGGAUAAUGGAUUUUCUUUUUGAUUCAACUCAGUGUGCAGUGGCUGCGAAAUAAGGCAAAUCCCAUGCCUUAAAAUGUAAAAGUUUCAUUUAACAAAAAAGCGCAGAGAUGUUAUUAAGCUGGUCAAUGUGAAGCACCUGCAUGUAUCUUUUUAAACAGUGCAUGCAAGACUAUGCACCCUAUGACUGCACUUCAAUAUUGGAAGGCAAGAGCAAGAGACAAACCACCCCCAUCCCCGCUCAAAAAUUGCUCCAUAGUUCUCACAUCAACCUCUUCUUUCAUCAGGUGGUUUCUUUCUGCCCGUCACCCACCCCCACCCCCCAAAAAUGUUGAAAAUAUUGGCACAGCUGUCAGAAAGACACUGCUUCCCUGGGAAAUAUGUGACUCCAGCCUCAGAAACAUAAAGCGAUGUCUCACAUCAACAGCAGGCCUCCACUGAAAGAUUUGGGAAGGAACCCUGAAUAGCAGAACAGCUGGAACUAUCUGACUUUGGAUGUGCCACUGGGACAAUUUUAGAGAUGUCUGAGAGUUCGCUCUGACAUGUCACCAGCCCAAGACUUAAAGCUGCCCUCCAAAGUCUUCAGAAGCAGUAGCAGCUGGCAGGGCGCGGCAGGGUGAGGAGACAUGGCUUGCCUGACUUCCUAACUGUCAGUAAUCGAGAGGAGGAGGGGCAAGGCUGCAGGGCAGUUGGCACAGAAUGGGCAGAGCAGUGGGAGAAUAUGAUGUUGUGCCCACACUACACUGACCUCUCCGCUGCCUCGUCCUUCCCCCUUUAGGUUAUUGGCAGAAACCUUCAUGUCAGAAAGUCAGGUGAGCAACACUUCCCCACCUCACUCUGCCCUGCUGGCCACUAAACCAAGAUUCAAAACUGGUUUUUCUCAAUAAACCAUGGGUAAAAUUAACUACAGUUCCAUUGGUAAGAAUAACACGGCUAAUUGAAAGCAGAAGAUUACAACUUCCUCUUAUGGCAGCGUCUGAUGGGGAAAGAGAAUGAAUGAACCCUAGGCUCAUUAAUGUAAUGCUAAGCCACAGUCAACCACAACAUUUCAACACAGCCGUUGUAAAUCAUUUGGUUUCACCUGAUGAGAAAAUGCCAAACUUCGUUUUUAAAAAAAUGAAAUUUCAGUAGCAUUCUAGUCUCCAUUUAAAAGGGAGACAUAUGUUUGGAGAGCAGAUACAGCCCAUCAUAAUUUUCCACCCGUUUUAACAAUGUCCUACUGCAAUGUGUAGCUAUCAAAUUGUCAUCACAGAUUUGUGGUGAUGCUAAAGUUUGGGAUGUUGGCAUUUGUAAUGGCAAACCUGAGGAUCCCCUCCCACCCCUGAGAUCAUUGUGAGUGAGAGCCUAUACUACAACAAAGUUUCCAGCACCACAAACAACCCCCUUCUCUUUUCACAGAAAAAAAUGGGAAACAAAAAUGUCCACAAAACUCCCCUCCCCCAAGUUUAGUUCUAUUUUUCCCCCCUUUGGGGACAGGGAGAGGUGAAUAAUUCUAGCUUUCAGAUAGCGUUUGUGUGUUGUUUUGUUUUAGUUGUUGAGCAGAUAGAACAUCGAUUCUUACUUUCAUAAGCUCUUAACAUUUCUUGAAUUAUCCACUGCAAUUGCUCACCUGGGAAACCAAUAAAAGGGAGGUAAUACCAUUUUAAUUGCCUUUUAAUACUAUUUAUCCCUUUGGUUAGAAAGGCGCAAAGUACCACAUCACCCCAGAGCUCACUUUGCCAGAAGCAAGUGCUAGUUCAUGGAUCAAUGUCAGACAGGGAAGAGAUAAAGAGUGGUGCUCCACUCCAGUGAUGCUCAACAUCCUCAUAAAUGAUGUGGAUCGUUGAUGUGUCCAUCAAAAUGUGCGGAUGAUACAGAUUUUGAAAGAAAUGCAUGGAUUCUGGAGAUGAAAUGCCAGUGUUAAUCUGCAGCACUGAACGGUAGUCAAAUUAUAUCUAACAAAUAUAAAUUAGAAUAUAUGUGGGAAAGAAUCUAAAGAACAGGUUCCAGGGUUUCCAGGUUAUAAUCUGAAUAUGAAACAGCAAUAUGAAUCUGUUUCAGAAAAAGAAAUGCAAACUUGUGUCUUGCUGGGUAUGUUGAAAUUUCCUUCUUAUCCCCUUUACUCAACUGCUUGCAUCAGGCACAGUCUCUGUUUUCUUGUACCUGCAAAUUUAUUGGCUCUAUUUUGUAUUUUGGAGGGAUGGGGAUUUAAAAAUAAAAUAAAAUAUGCCAUUAGUCUAAACUGGUGGAGUUGCUGGUCUUCAGGAUUCUAAUCUCCCUGAGAAAUCUCCAGAACCUCAAUCUCUACAUUGGAUCCAUUUUGAUUCUAGUGUGUAUAUGUAUGUAAAUGCGUACUCAUGAACGCAAAAUCCCAGAGCACUGCUUCUCUUCCAUCCAAGAAUCACUGCCUUUCCAGAUAGUAAAUGUUGCUAAAUGUUUUGAGCUGAAUCUGUUCCAUACAGCCACAUCCAUUGUGAGAUUAAACAUUCUUCAGGUUGUUGCCACUCUUGUUUUGGAGUGAAUUGGGUUGCAAAUGAAUAAAAAUCUGCAGAACAUACUCGCUCACGAAAAUGUUCUGCUCAUGCAUAACAGUAUAUACUGUGUUAGUUUUAUGAUGUUAGCUGCCCUGAGUCCAGCCGGGGAGGGUACAAAUAAAAUUUAUUAUUAUUAUUAUUAUUAAUUUUUAUUUAUAUCCCACCCUCCCCAGCCGAAGCUGGGCUCAGGGCGGCUAACAACAAUCAAAAUAAUCCAACAUUCUAAAAACAUUCAUUCUAAAAUUAAUUAAAAUCAAAUUGAUGGCAACCAUUAAGCAAAAUUCUGUGCAGAUUGCCAGAGGAGGGGGUCAGGCUGUGCCCUGACCAAAGGCCUGGUGGAACAGCUCUGUCUUGCAGGCCCUGCGGAAAGAUGUCAGGUCCCGCAGGGCCCUAGUCACUUGUGGCAGAGCGUUCCACCAGAUUGGAGCCGCUCGGGUUGCGAACGUGAUCCGUGCAGGAGGCCCGUUCACAACCCGCAGCGUCACGUCUGCGCACACAUGAGUUGCGAUUCGGAGCUUCUGCAAAUGCGCGACCCCCGAAACCCGGAAGUAACCUGUUCCGGUACUUCCAGGUUUCGGUGCAUUGGUAACCUGAAAAAACGCAACCCGAAGCAUCUGUAACCCGAGGUAUGACUGUAUUAUUUAUUUAUUAUUAUUAUUAUUAUUAAUAAUAAUAUAUAAUUUUGGGCACUUCCUGAAAUGAAUGAAUAAAUCCACUCCCUUGGUUUUAGAGACUAGCUGAUCACUGGAGACAGUUACUCUCCAAAGAUGAUUAGGUGAGUGCUUAGAAUCAUAGAAUCAAAGAAUUGCAGAGCUGGAGGGGACCCCAACAGUCAUCUCUUCCAACCCCCUGCAAUACAAGAAUCUGAACUAAAGAUUGCAAGAUGGUUGUUGUGCUUAAUUGCAAACUGAUUGCUGUAGUUUUCAAAAUGGAGCUCAAGUUGCUUCAGAAGCCUAUGGAAGACAAGCCAUUGGAGAAUAAAUGCAUAUAGAUUACACCCUGUGGAUAGCUCAGUUGGUAGAGCAUGAGAGUCAUGGGUUCAAGCCCCAGUUGAGCAAAAGAUUUCUGCAUGGCUGGGAGUUGCACUAGAUCAGGCUUCCUCAACCUCGGCCCUCCAGAUGUUUUGGGACUACAAUUCCCAUCAUCCCUGACCUGCUAGCUAGGGAUCAUGGGAGUUGUAGGCCAACAACAUCUGGAUGGCCAAGUUUGAGGAAGCCUGGACUAGAUGAUCCUCAGAGUCCCUUUCAACUCUACAAUUCAAUUAUUUUAUUAUCUGUGAAUGUAAUGUCUAAUCAUGGAAUAUGUGGCUUGAGUUGUGAUCGUUGGCAUGGCAGUCAAGUGUAUUAGCAGUCCACAAGAGCGUCCCAUUUUGGCUGCUGUUGUUUCUUGCUGCUGCUGAUGUUAUGUUACUUUUAUGCAUUGAUUGGAAAAAACAAAUAGCAUAAGACAUGCAUUUUAUACUUACAUUUGUGAACCGUUCUGUGAUGUGUAAACAGAAAUAAUAAAUAAUAUUUUCAUGUUUGACAUUUGAAGGGCAUGUUAGCUGAAAUAGAUUUACUAGAAGCGAGCCCCAUCAAUUUCAAUGGGAGCUUAAUCUCAAGAAAGCAUUCUUAGGCUCACAACCCAAUUUUGCUUUAUUCCCCUUUCCAAAACACUGUACCUCUAAAAGUAAUUUAUGAAAUGCCUAGCGAUCUCUUCCCUGGGAUGACCUAGGAAAGGUGUCUUAUUUCACAGUCUAAUAGAAUUCAUUUAAGGUACCGGGUGAGUUACUGUUAGUGCUCCUUCCACUUCUAAUACCUUGUGAGAGUGAAUUCCCCACUUAUCAGAGACUUCCAUCUUGACUUUUAUGCAAUGGCUUUCUAUAGGAGCUGACAGAACGAUGCACUGAGCUGUGUGCUUUUCCUGUUUUAAUUAGAUUAAAAUUUAUGUUUUAUUGUAUGGAAGUUCUCUGUCCCAGUUAUGUAAAGAAGAAGGGGGGGAAUAAAUGUGCCAAUAAUAUAUGUACAUAGCUUCAAAUCACACUUCCUGUUGGUUAAGGAAGUGUGGUCUAUUGUGACAACAACAUUUUGAAGGAGUCCUUACGAGAAAUGCUGGCAAUAUCUCUAGGACUCAGGUGAAAAUGGUGGUGGUGCUGGGACUCCUAAUGCUUGCUCAAACAAGCAAGCAUUAGCAACCCUGAAUUCAGAUUAGAAUAUGAGCCAUUGAAUAAUAGGGGGUUUUUUUAUUAAUUGAAGAAUUAUGGCUCUAAAUCGCACUGGAGCCACUCUAAUUUGCCUUUCGACUCACAGAGCGCUUCCAACAAGGGUGUGAUGGCCUGGGACUCGGGCUCAGACUCAGAACCAGAGGAGACUCAGUCUGCACUUGAUCCUUUGCCUCGGGCAUUAUCUGAACCAAGUCUGGGGCCUAAUCCUGAAGAGUCCCAGUCUGCACAGGUUCUCCUGCAACAAACACCAGCUGAGACGAGUCAGGGGCCUGAGCCUGCCCUGGCUCCAGAUGCGGGGAUUACCUUAGAAUCAUAGAAUCAUAGAGUUGGAAGAGACCACAAGGGCCAUCGAGUCCAACCCCCUGCCAAGCAGGAAACACCAUCAGAGCACUCCUGACAUAUGGUUGUCAAGCCUCUGCUUAAAGACCUCCAAAGAAAGAGACUCCACCACACUCCUUGGCAGCAAAUUCCACUGUCAAACAGCUCUUACUGUCAGGAAGUUCUUCCUAAUGUUUAGGUGGAAUCUUCUUUCUUGUAGUUUGGAUCCAUUGCUCCGUGUCCGCUUCUCUGUCUAUGUGACAUCCUUUUAUAUAUUUGAACAUGGCUAUCAUAUCACCCCUUAACCUCCUCAUCUCCAGGCUAAACAUGCCCAGCUCCCUUAGCCGUUCCUCAUAAGGCAUCGUUUCCAGGCCUUUGACCAUUUUGGUUGCCCUCCUCUGGACACAUUCCAGUUUGUCAGUGUCCUUCUUGAACUGUGGUGCCCAGAACUGGACACAGUACUCCAGGUGAGGUCUGACCAGAGCAGAAUACAGUGGCACUAUUACUUCCCUUGAUCUAGAUGCUAUACUCCUAUUGAUGCAGCCCAGAAUUGCAUUGGCUUUUUAGCUGCCGCGUCACACUGUUGGCUCAUGUCAAGUUUGUGGUCAACCAAGACUCCUAGAUCCUUUUCACAUGUACUGCUCUCAAGCCAGGUGUCACCCAUCUUGUAUUUGUGCCUCACAUUUUUUUUUGCCCAAGUGCAAUACUUUACAUUUCUCCCUGUUAAAAUUCAUUCUCCCUGUUAAAAUUCAUUCUCCCUGUUAAAAUUCUUGUUGCCUUCAGCUUGGCCAUCACUUACAGCUGCUCCUCUACCGGUUGGGUCAGGGGAGGCUGAGGUGGCCCCUGGGUCUAGUAACCCACGACGUCUCCCGAGCUGCAGAGACUAAGGUCUGAGAGAAGGAGAGACCCGAGUACUCGCAGGAGGAGUGCUCGCCUUUGGGCAAAACAGGGAGGUUAGUCACUGGGGGAUCAGGACCGGCCGUUACCCCGACAAAGAUAAAAGGCUGUUGGACCCUGCCCCAGGUUGCGGGAGCAACAUUGCUGUAUGCUAGAACCUGCCUGAGAUCCUGUACCUGUCCUUUCCUGGUUUCCUGCCUUGGCCCUGUUGGACUGACUCCUAGCAGAACCUUUGGAUUCUGGACCAGUCCUGGACUGCAUUUCACAGGUUACCCCUGGGCACAGCACAAAGGGGAAGAUGGCACAUCUGGCUGGGAGCAGGGCUUGCCAACAUGCCCCACUUUCUCUCAUAUGAUUUUUCAUGUUGCAAUUUUCCUAAAGGCAGGAGAAUCGUAGACCAAUCAAAUUUAGCUCUAUUGCCGAGGAAAUAAAAUGAUACUUUUAUUGGGGGUGUGCCAGGAAAACUCACGUUUAAAAAAUUUAAUUAUGCCUUAAUAGCAAAGUUGUGAAUAAAAAAACAAACCUCAAAAACAUCCAGGAAGCUGACAUUUCACUGGUGAGACAUUACAUGUAAUGUAAUGCUGUGCUGUCACCUUAAAAGAUGUACACUCGUCUUUCAGAAUUACAUUGGUAUAGGAGCCUGGAGAUUAUAGGAAACUAAACUCACCCACUGGUUCCAAACUGUGCAAUAUUUGAGGCUAAUACUAUUUUAAAGACCCUGGAUACCACGUUUGAUUCCCCCCCCCCCAACCUCACCUGAUAUCAGCCAAGUAUAUUUUAAAUUGUUCCUGGGUACCAUACUCAAUACUUCAAAGCAGAUUCUUAUGACUGGCUAAUAUAUAAACCCUGCCUUCCAUCUGCUUGUGCACACUAAACACACACACACACCAAAAAAGAGAGUCAAAAUUGAGUUCUUUGCAUGAUGUACUACAACACUUACUGCAUUUGCUUUGAUCAAAGAUGAUUUUGACAAGAGUUAUAUUGCAUUUGUUAAUCAGCAAAAUGCUCUUAACAUGUUAUUAAAACAAGGUUAUUGAAUCUGAUGAAGGAAGACUGAUUUCUUUUUACUCAAAAGGCUAAACAAAACAUCCAAUCCGACAUGGUCAAAUGCAGCUUUUGGAAAGAGCAUGUCAUCUCCAUGUGUUCUUUUGCUUUGUUCAUGUCAUGCCCUUUCAGGAGUACACAAGUUAGCCCUACUUCCACCACCUCACAGGAAGAAGCUUCAGACCUCCAUGCACAGAGAUCUGUCUUAGUCAGGCUCCCUGGUGCAGGGAAGAUUCUAAGCAUUGUCAGCUGAACAUUCUUAGAAUCCCACUACAGCCCUUCAAAGAACAUGGGAACAUAAGAACUGGAGCACUGGGCACAGGGUACAAAUAUCCACCCUCUCCUCCCCCGUUAGCCCUCACAGGUCUAUGAAAUGCCUGAAUAAGGCUUGAAUAUCCUCCCAUUUUGAUCUUUCAAAGUAGUCCUUUCAGACAGAAAUACUUCCUGAAACCCUGUUAAUUUUUAAAAGCCAAUUAAUGGUGAGUAGGUUUCAUCUUUUUACAAUCCUGUUCGCUACCGUUAUUUCAUCUGUCUUCAGCUGCAAGGAUGCCCCCCCCACUUUUAAUUGCUGAUUUUGCCACGUUCUGAAUUAUCCAAAUUUCUGAAAUCACACAUGUGACUAUCACAUAGUGAAUAUUAUUGAUUGAUUGAUUGAUUGAUUGAUUGAUUGAAUGAUUGAAUGAAUGAAUUUGUAUACUGCCCUACCCCCGCAGGUCAUAGGAUAUGACAAAAUGUCAUAUAUAGCCAUAUUUGGCUAUGUGAUUAUAUCAUUAAAGGCAAAUGAAGUCAAUUAAGAGUGAGGACAAUACAAACACUUUCAGAACAAUCACUGAAAAAAUCGCCAAAAGAAAGUUGAUGUUUGAGUCUGCCCAAAGUGAUCAUUAAACACACACACACACACACACACACACAGAGAGAGAGAGAGAGAGAGAGAGAGAGAGAGAGAAUACUACCAUGUUUGCCCAAGUUUUAUUCCAUUUAUAAAUUUGAAACCUGUGGUUAUCACAAAAGAGAUAUAAUGUGUCUUACAGGGGUUAAUUCAAUGGCUGGAUACAAAUGUUUCUCAAAUUUUCCAAGCUUCACUGGCAUACAGAGCAACACUGUGUGUCAGAAACAUAUCCUUAUUCAGUCAGUAGCAGUAACGCCUGGUUACAAGCCCGUCAAGAACUGGCAUGCGAAGUUUUCUCUGGAAACUUCACAGUGCACAAUUACCUCCUUAUAAAUCCUUUGUAAACAUCCCUUUCAAGUAAGCCUAUGGCUGCAUACACACUAUACUUUGAAAGCACAUUAUUUCCUUCAAAGAAUUCUGAGCAGUGUAGUUUAUCCCUUCCAGAUUUACAAUCCCCGGCAACCCUUAAACUACAGUGCCCAGGAUUCUUUGAGGGGAAAAUGUUUGUUCUUUGAGUGAGCUUUAAAGGUACAGUGUCUAUGCAGCCAAAUAUAUUGUCUAAAAGGCCAGUGGAGCAAAAUGUAAUAGCAAAACAGAGCAGCUUUCUGAACAUGAUUUGCAAUUUUAGAAAACAAAGACAGUACCACAACACCCUCAGUAUCUCCUUUCUUGUAAUUUGAAUCCACUGGUUCAAGUCCUGGCCUCCAGAGUGGGAGGAAACAAGCUUGCUACAUCUUCCAUGUGACAGCCCAUUAGAUAUCUGAAGAUGGGUAUCAUAUCUUCUCUCAGUCUCCUCUUAUCCAAGAUAAGAGAAUGGGAAAGCAAUAAAUGGAGUGGCUUGAAAAGAGUCAUAAAGAGCCAUGCCAACUAUCUUGUGGUCCCUGUGGCAAAACUAUGCCAUUCUCGAUUCAAACAUCAGUUUUAUUUCUAACCAUACUAACCCUGAUAUACCAUACCCAACAUUUCAUUGCAAUCAAAUCAUGCAAGCAGCAAUUCCACAACGUGCUGUCAAGCAAAACAGUCUGCAAACCCACAGGAUAAUUUGUUUUAAUGAGCAGAUCCUUAACAUUCAAAUGCAAAUUGCUAAUCAAAACAAACUUGCCAAAGGAAGGCAGGGGUAAAUUCGCACAACAAGAAACCUAACGCUAAGCUCUCUAGCAGGUGUUGGGAACUUGUAGUCCUCUAGUUGUGGAUGAACUACAACUGCCAUCAUCCCCGGCCACUGGCCAUUCUUGCUGGAGCUGAUGGGACUUGCAAUUCAACAACAUCUGGAAGGCCAAAGGUUCUACGGUAUGUGUAGUAUGACUGGUAACAAUAAAAUCUCAUCACUCACUAAGAGAAAAUAAAAUGCUAAAUAAUAAUAAAAUAAUACUAAUUAUUAUCCAAAAAAAAAGCUCAACAAAUCUGGGCAAUCCUCCCCCCCCCCAAAAAAAGCUUCACAACUUUGGCAAUCCUCCCCCCCAAAAAAUCUCAACAACUCUGGGCCAUCUCCCCCCCCCCUCCAAUUUUCUUAAAUUGGAAUCUCCAAAAGUAGGGGGCGUCUUAUACACUGAAAACUACGGUAAUUCAUUGAUCAACAGAAAUUUCUUUCAUUAAAGUAUGGGUAAAAGAAUUUUGUGGAAAUAGGAGCAUGGGGCGGGAUUGUUGUUGGUCAUAGGUAGUAAGAAUUUCUAUACAUUAUAUCUGUGUCUUUCUAAUAAUAUCCAGAAGAAAACUCCCAGUGAUGUUUUUCAAUCUCAAGCUGAUUUGCAAAUGUAAAGAACUGAAUUUAAGAUUGGUAAAAACUGAGAAACCGAGAGGAACCAAAAUUUACAGACUCACUCACACCUAGUCUUGACAAUGACUUCAAAGUACAACAGCCCUGGUUAUGCAUUUGUUGUCUAGAGCAAUAUUUGAAGGGAUAAUAGGAAGGCAUUGCAUCACACCCAAGAGUUUGGACCAAUUAGAUCAAUCCGAAAUAGCACUAGACAAGGAGUUUAGCUACAUUUAAUGGGUUGGAGACACUUGAAUUCUUUCAAAGGGUUGUUUUGGCCCUGAAGCAAUCAGAGAAAGGCACAGAAAGACUCUGGCUGUUCCAAUCUGUAUGAUACUAACUGACAACAGCAUACAACCAAAAUAGCUGAAAGCAAGGCAGAAAGAAGCCUUUAAUAAUUCCAAGAGUUUGGAACCAGUUGCUGCUGCUUUUAAUGGCAAAAGCUCUCUGGUUAGAACAGCUGCACGGUGGGUUGAAAUUAAACAGGUGCUGCUUUCAUCGGGUAAGAAGAUGCUCACUGUGAGCAUUGCACCUACUGAAUCCCUACCACCAACUGCAAUGUAUGUGUUAAAAACACAGAGCCGCUGUCCAAAAAGAAAGGACUGCAAGUCUAAUAAUCAUAUCCUUUUCAGGCUAAGGGGAUGAGGUGGAAAUCACCAUUUACUUGUGCUGUAUUGAUUUUUCUAUUACAAUGGGAAGUGUGACCAUAAAUCGAACAGGGGAUCUUUGACAAGCAGGGUCUUUCUUUAUAGGCUCCAGAAAGUAACUAAUUCUGGUUGCCCAAGUAGGUGGCAUUAUUGUCACUGGUCUGAAAUAAUUCACACCCUGAAGCGAUCAGCUUCAUUUAAUGGGAUUUAAUCUAAGGCAGGAUGGCCAGCUUCCAAUUCUUGGGGGAGCAUCCUCCUCUAGCCAGUGGUCCCUGAGCCAAAAAUGUGUUUUGCCACUGAAUCUGACCUCAUUGUUGGUCAAGUCCCGUAGCAUGAGUGGUCAAAUGCUAAAUAACCUGAAAGAUCAUCUCACCCUCUAUAUACUCAUCAAUCCCUUGCUCUGCAGGUGAGCCUCUACUACAGAAACCAUCUGAUGAGAAAGUCCAUUCUGCACAAUGUAGCAAUCAGCCCUUUAGCACUGUGGCACCUCUCCAUAUAAUUGCCUCUCUUAAAAUAUUAGACAGGCAUCAUCUCUGUUGUCUUUUUACAGUGGUACCUCUGGUUAAGAACUUAAUUUGUUCCGGAGGUCCAUUCUUAACCUGAAACUGUUCUUAACAUGAGGUACCACUUUAGCUAAUGGGGCCUCCCACUGCCGCCACGCCGCCGCUGCACGAUUUCUGUUCUCAUCCUGAAGCAAAGUUCUUAGCCUGAGGUACUAUUUCUGGGUUGGUGGAGUCUGUAACCUGAAGCGUCUGUAACCCAAGGUACCACUGUACUGCCUACUGAAAACCUCCCUCUUCCAACAAGUUGAGAUUCUUCCCAGUUUGCAUUGGUACUGGAACUGUUUCUAAGAACUUUUUAUUUCUUUAUCACUUGUUGCAUGCUGCCCUGGGCUUCUUUGAGGGGAAGGGUGGGAUAUAAUUUAUUAUUAUUAUUAAAAGAAGGAUGCUGAACCUGUGGCCAUCCAGGCGAUUGACUCACCAAUGACCACUGGUCAUUCUGCCUAGGCCUGAAGGCUGUUGAACAACAUAUGGACAGCCAUCUAGAGAACAUGCUCUAUAGUAAAGUUGGUGAUGCCAUUCAGGACUUUGGAAUUAUGAAGUAGCUCAUGUUGUGUCUUUCCAUAGAAAAACUAAAUGGUGAUAUCCAGCCAAGCCAUAUAGCAGGCCCAUUCAAACCAAUGGAUUUAAAUAUCCCAAGUCCAUUUAUUUCAGUAGAUCAACUCUGAAUAUGAUUAGUGUUGAAUAUCACCCAAAUAGAAACAUUGCAUUGUGUGUGUCGGACUUGCUCCUCUCUCACAACCUGCAGGUUCUUGUAGAAUUACAACACAGGCUACAGUUUAGGCAUAAGUAAACAUAUAUACAAGAAUAAACUAUUAUUUCCCAUAAUGCUGAUGAUUUAUAACAAAUUAAAUACCUGAUGAACAUUAGUUGAUGCAUGUGCAUCGCUACGCCAGUAAUCAAUUCCAAAAAAUGCCAAUUUUCAUUAAAGAGAUUACACUUUUGUCUCCCUUCCUUAGACAUGAUGAAGGGUGUUCAUUUAAUCAUAAUGGCACAUUGCUGCAAUCUUGUCUCCCAUUCUUCAAGUGUGGGAGUUCAAUAGUCCCUCUAAUGUUUAACAAAAAGAACUCUAACUGCAGUGAUCACACAGCCUGUUAUUUAUAGGUUUGGUACAAAAUUAUUUUUGUAUAAAGAGGGUUUUCUUCCAGUAGUUAUUUCUGAUAGCUUUCUUAAUAUUUCGCCUUUGCGUAUAGACAAAUUACCAUCGAUAAAACAAAACAACAAUCCCAGGUGAAUGUAUUCUUCCAGCUAUGCUCUAUUGUUCUUCUGCCAUUCUGACAUCCCUUGGGGGAUAUCCCUUGUAUAUUUUCUGGCAGGAGCUGCCGGUUUUUAAAUGAAGGUAAGGAAUUACAUGCAACAACCCCCCAGCAUGUUUCUUCAAACAAAUUUAUGGCUUUCCUUGGAUCUUACUACAGAAGCUCAUUUGUGAUCCUGCAGGAGAAUAAAAUAAAAUAUCCAAAUCCAAGGGAUCAGAACUUCAAGCAGAAUAUUGUGGGAGGAGUGAUUUAAAAUGGCAGCAUUCGUUUGAAUUAAAAUGCUUUCUAGAAGCAGCCAUUUCCUCACCAAGAGCUGCAGCACGUUCAUCCUUUUAAUAAAAGAAACAUCAUUUUCCUUCUUUAAUUGCUGAUAUCCAAGUCUUUAAUCUAAAAUGUUGUUAUUAUUUUUCUCCAAAUAGGUGACUUUCUCUUUCCUUGAUGUUUGUAUUUUUCCUUUGAUUGCCAACACACUAGAUUUUAAUUGCUUAUAUAUUUAAUUCUCAUGUGCAUAAUUGCACUCCCGCAGUUGGCUGUUGUUGUUUUAAUUCAAACAGAUUGGGGGGGGGGAUUUAGCAGAGUAAUCUUAAUUCACCAUUGAGGCAUUAAGAUGAGAGGAAAGUCAGCAAGCAGAGUGACUGCUGCACCAUGUCCUGCCAUUUUGCAAUAGCCAUGGUAGGUGGGUGGGAGAGAGGGAGCAAAAUACCUACUUCAGCCCCAGGGAUGGUAUAUUGUCAGGUUGGUUCUUUGAGCAUGUGGGGGGAAUGCAAGAACUUUGGAUCUGGCAGAUACACAUUCACCCCAACACUCACUCUCUGGAGCCAACUGAUGAUUCCCAGGUAAGAUUGAAUUGAAAUUGAAAUUGAAAUACUUUAUUGUCACUUGUACAACUUGUAUACAGUGAGAUUACACGAGCACCCCCCACUCAGCUCUCUUAGUCUUAAUUCCCCUCGUUUACUGAAGCACACCCACCAAACCCGAAAAUCAGUUGCCCUGUUGUUAUCUUUUCUUUCAGCAGCCUAACAGCCCACGGAUAGAAGCUGUUCUUUACCCUAUUGGUGCGACUAAUCAUGCUUCUAUAUCUUCUGCCUGAGGGCAGGAGAUCAAGAAAGUGCCAGCCAGGGUGUGAAUCAUCCCUGAGAAUUUUCCUCACUCUCCUGAGGCAACGUUCUUCCGCUAUUUCAUCCAGCAGAUUCACGGGACAGCCCAUAAUAUCUUGUGCUGUAUUCACCACCCUCUGUAGGAACUUCCUAUCAGUUGAUGUCAAACCAGCUUACCACACCGUGAUGCAGUAUGAAAGGACACUUUCUAUUGUGGACCAGUAGAAGGAGAUCCACCCUCUAUUGUGUGGGCAGGGCCUACCUCGUCCAAUCCCCUGGCAAAGCCUUCCCAGAUGGUAUUGGGCAAUUGGCUGAGGUAAGCGGAGACCUCCAGGUAUCCAGCCUGGGGAGGGCAAAGCCAGACUGUACUGCCAGGAGCCGCAUAGGGUCUGGGGGGCUGUGAACAACCAUGCAAAAGACACCCCCCAUUUGAUGUGGGGAGUGGUCAUUCACCCCAACCAGUGCCCAAACACUAGCCGGAGGGAAAAAUAUAUAUUUUAAGCUUACAGAGGCCACAAGAACAUUAAUUGCCAAAAACUGGAAAAAAGAAAUAACACCAACAAAAAAAGAAUGGCAAGAUAAAUUGUUGGAUUAUAUUGAAUUGACCAGAUUGACAGAAGCUAUCAGAAGCCAAACAAAAAUUUCAAAAAGACUGGGGGAAAUAUAGAGAAUAUCUUUAAAAGCAGUGCCCUCAAAUUAAUACUUGGACUUGUUUCGAUUAACUUCCGCAAAAUAAAUGAAGGUAUGUAAGUCAAAAACAGAAAGAAAAAGAGGUAGUAAGGAAUUAAGAAGGAAACAGUUUAUCAAAAAUGAAAAGAGAACCAUGUUGAGGGUGAAGAAAGUCAAUUGGAAAAAAAGAAAAA
Molecule: long non-coding RNA, 34153 nt
Filed under: Podarcis lilfordi (Lilford's wall lizard)
Lineage: Eukaryota; Metazoa; Chordata; Lepidosauria; Squamata; Lacertidae
Rfam family: tRNA (bases 2909-2967)
Source: RNAcentral